This 440-nucleotide ribosomal RNA is filed under the name uncultured bacterium. RNAcentral describes it as "partial 16S ribosomal RNA". It matches the Rfam family "Bacterial small subunit ribosomal RNA", at positions 338 to 795 of the family's 1533-position model. The record is from RNAcentral.
CCUACGGGAGGCAGCAGUAGGGAAUAUUGCUCAAUGGGGGAAACCCUGAAGCAGCAACGCCGCGUGGAGGAUGAAGGUUUUCGGAUUGUAAACUCCUUUUGUUAGAGAAGAUAAUGACGGUAUCUAACGAAUAAGCACCGGCUAACUCCGUGCCAGCAGCCGCGGUAAUACGGGGGGUGCAAGCGUUACUCGGAAUAACUGGGCGUAAAGAGCGCGUAGGCGGGAGAGCAAGUCAGAUGUGAAAUCCUAUGGCUUAACCAUAGAACUGCAUUUGAAACUGUUAGUCUGGAGUAUGGGAGAGGUAGGUGGAAUUCUUGGUGUAGGGGUAAAAUCCGUAGAGAUCAAGAGGAAUACUCAUUGCGAAGGCGACCUGCUAGAACAUAACUGACGCUGAUGUGCGAAAGCGUGGGGAGCAAACAGGAUUAGAUACCCGUGUAGUC